RNAcentral lists this ribosomal RNA (269 nucleotides) under uncultured prokaryote. RNAcentral describes it as "partial 16S ribosomal RNA". It matches the Rfam family "Bacterial small subunit ribosomal RNA", at positions 524 to 792 of the family's 1533-position model. The record is from RNAcentral.
UACGUAGGUGGCGAGCGUUAUCCGGAUUUACUGGGUGUAAAGGGCGUGUAGGCGGCUCUGCAAGUCAGAUGUGAAAUUUCCGGGCUUAACCCGGACGGGUCAUCUGAUACUGCAGGACUUGAGUACUGGAGAGGAUAGCGGAAUUCCUAGUGUGGCGGUAAAAUGCGUAGAUAUUAGGAGGAACACCGGUGGCGAAGGCGGCUAUCUGGACAGUAACUGACGCUGAGGCGCGAGAGCGUGGGGAGCAAACAGGAUUAGAUACCCGCGUA